RNAcentral lists this long non-coding RNA (360 nucleotides) under Phoenix dactylifera (date palm). RNAcentral describes it as "long non-coding RNA (PDAC_LNC013785)". The record is from RNAcentral. Lineage: Eukaryota; Viridiplantae; Streptophyta; Magnoliopsida; Arecales; Arecaceae.
AACUUAUCCUGUUGUAGCUUGUAUUGGUUGUUUCCCUUCAUUCAGCCUACAAAAUAGUCUUUUUUCUUAAAAAUCUAAGACUGGUAUGAUUGUCUUGGUCUCCUACUGGCCAUUGGUUCAAGGCCUGAUCUUUCAGCCUAUUUCUUCACCUCAGAGCCAAAUUCUAUCUGUUCGGCCUGGGUCUCUAUCCUUAGUAAGAUAUCACAGAUGAACUUUACCCAGUCUUAGCAAGAGUCAUGUAAUUCUCAUCUGUUCUGAUUCUACCAAUUGAAUCCACGUGAUAUUUUCUCCUGUUCACUAGCUAGAUUGUCAAGAUGUAUAACAAUGCCCCCCACAUCUUGUUUACCAUCGAUCAAGCAA